RNAcentral lists this long non-coding RNA (4462 nucleotides) under Salmo salar (Atlantic salmon). RNAcentral describes it as "lncRNA (ENSSSAG00000114086.1)". Lineage: Eukaryota; Metazoa; Chordata; Actinopteri; Salmoniformes; Salmonidae. The record is from RNAcentral.
UCCUGCCUCUCCCAUCUCCUCAUUGGUUUAUAGAAGCAGGUACCCACGUGCCAUCUCCUCAUUGGUUAUGCCCACGUGGGUGACUGAAAGACGAACGAAGUCAGUGGCGGUAAUGCACCUAAUUUAUGAAAGUUGCCAAUCGCAAUAUAAAGUCAAGAGAAGAAAAAGGCUGGAAGGAGGAGAGAUGACUAGAAACGAUUCGGUUGACCGUUAUAUGUGUGGAUUAAUUGCCGGAGUAGAGGACCUUGUGCAUUUCAGGUAAAAUAACAACUCAAUGUUUAUAUCCCAGGACAAAUUAGCCAGCAACAGCAAGCUAGCUAAAAAGGUCAAAUUAGCUAUCAAGUGCAAGCUAGCUAGCUAAAUUGCCAUAAAUGUUUAAUGCUUUUCGACCUGUCCCCAAAUUAAUAUAAUUGGUUCAGAGUUUGUUUAGAUAUUUGAACCUGCGUGUUGUGAUCACAUUUGGUGUGGGGGGACAAAAUACAUUGAUGCACGCUGGCGCACAAUGGGGCACGCACGCAGCCGGUUUGGGUUCCGUGUUAUAAUAAAUGUUUCGACAAAGAGUCAAACAUGCCUUUUCCCUCGACGAAUAUGAAACCCACCAGAUCAGAUGCAUUCAAGAUGAAAGUUGUGCCACCAAUGAAAAAUGAAGAAGGGAAUAAAACUGCAAAGUGGAAAAGUCAAAGUGGACUCAGAGGCUAUGCAAAAAGAUAUGAAGCUGCAAGAAAACAAAACAACAUUUGAAACAUAACGCAAAGCCUUUCAAGAAUUGCAGGUAUGUACCACAGUACCAGUACAUGUUAAGGUAUAGGCCUAUAUUGAAAUGACAGAGUGAAAAUGCUACAGUCCUUUAAAAAAGUGUAUUAUUAUUGUUAUUGUAUUUUCCUUUAUCUUUCCGUUCGGAAAUGAAAGCCUCACUAUUAAACUAGAAGAUCAGAGCAGUGAGAAUGAUGAUCCGUUGAACAGGUAUGUAUUUGAUUACAACAUGAUACUUUCACUAUAGAUUGUAUGAUCAUUCUGCUUUUAUCUGGCGCGUUUAUUUCUCGAACAGAAACAAUGCAACAUGGAACAUAAGUCAUAUACUGAAAGAUACGUUUGAAAGAUCAGCGGAGAAAGUCCAUCUACAUAAGUAAAACAUGCCGUCUUGUCAGCCUGUGUACAUGCUAGUACCUAAAUGCAAAAUGAGGACAUGUUGUGGUCUACGUUGUCCUCAAACUAACCUAUGUUCUCUUAGAGAAAAAACCCAUCACAUGUUCAUGGACAGAAGAUCAAAUAUUUUUUGUCACAUGCGCCGAAUACAACUGGUGUAAACCUUACCGUGAAAUGCUUACUUACAAGCCCUUAGCCCUUAACCAACAAUGUCCGGGGGUACAGGUUAGUCGAGGUAGUAAUCGCUGUUCUGAUAUCCUGAAGCUCUUUUCGGUCUUAAGAGAAGGUAGCAGAAGCAUUAUGUACAAAAUAAGUUACAAACAAUGAGAAAAAACACACAUAAUAGCAUAAUCAGUUAGGAGCCGGUAAAACGGCAGCCAUCCCCUCCAGCAUCAUUAUCACAGUGAAAGUACUCAGAGGAUGAAUGCUGCCUUUAAGAGCCUACGUAUUCAAGCAGAAACUGACCGCCAUGAGAUGCUGAAAGAUGAAAAGGAAGAACAAAAAAGAAAGACUUCAGUAAAUCCUGUUCAACCUCUAUGAAAGCCAAGAGAGUUGCAAAAGUUUACAAGAGGCAGCAAAGCAACAUCAGGAAGCCCUACAAAGUUCCAAACAAGAACAAGAAUCCCUGUUAGAGUCUGCAAAGUGCCGAACAGCUCAAUAAAGACUUUGAAGAGAGAUUAAAGAAAAGAAAGACAGCCAGCUACAACUCCUUGAAGAUGAACUGGAUGUCAAAACAAAAUCCAUACAGUCACAAAGUUGUUGAGACCAGAACAUCAGAACUCACCACAGAGUUUAAGAUGAAACAUGCUGAAAUUCACUAAUUCAAGAAUAAAGUCUGCUGAAAACAAUUUACUGGAAAAGGCUCUUGAAAAGGCUGAGACGAUGCAAAACUAUUUGAAGGAAAAAGCCAAUAUGACUGAGAGGAAAAUACAAGAGAUUGAGGGGCAGUUAUCUGCUGCAAUGAGAAGAGAUGAAAAAUCCAUCAAGGAAAAAGAUAAUCUAAAGACAGACAUUGUACAACAUGAGGUGAAGUAUGAAGAGCUAUCAGCAAGUUUCAAUCAGCUGCAACUUGAGAACAAGACUAUGCUGGAGAAGAUGCAGAAUGAAUCCUCAGAGGCAACCCUUCUUGUAGCACGACUAAAAGAGAGGGAGGCAAAAGAUGAAGAUGAAGGAAAUUGAAAGACUCCAGGAGGAAAACCAUCAAUUAUGAGAGGAUUUGAAAUCCUAAAAUGACAAAGUUGAAGAGCAAGGUGAAGACACUGAGAAUCUGCAGAAGAAACUUGGAAAAAGUGUACAGGAGCUACAGCUUCGAGCUACAGAGGCCGUCAAGAGUAAGGAAGAUGCUGAAGUCAAAUGUCAGAACAAGACGCAGACAUGGUUGCCGUGACAGAAAGCACAAGGUUAAGUUCUCUGUUGGUAUCAGAACCACUAUGACAAAAUGGUUGAUGAGAAAGAUGCAGAGCUUGAUGAGAAGAAGAGGAAAGACAUGGAGGCAGCUGUUAAUAGAACAUCACUGCAGAACAUGGAGAAUGGCCAUUUGAAGGAACAACUGGAGAAAGAAAUGAAGGAGAGGGAAAGCUGACUACAGGAGAUUACAGGCCUGGAAAAAGAGACGGCGUGUCAGAAAAUGAGCAGGCAACUGGAGACACAGGAUAAACAGGUGUUCUGAAACACUCAGCCACGAUGCCUGAGGACAGUCACACAAAGCCUCUGUAACCCAAUCCCAAAGCUCAGACAAAAGAGAUGCUGUGACUCCAAACAUUAAUGAAAUGGAAAGCGAAGCCCCAAGAACGCAAUCUUGGAGCUUUAUGACUACAGUUAGAGCAACAUCGCAAAUGAAGGAAAGCAAAGCUCUCAAAACUCCAUCUUGGCGUUCCCCCAGUACAGCUGGUGCAACACCACGGAUUAAGUCUUACAGAAUCAGAACUCCUCCGUCCGCUGGGAAGUCUGUGCCCUGGGGGAAGAGCACACUGGAGCUUGACCCCAAGUCUGACAGCUCUGAACAUAAAGAUUUAUAUGAUCGAUCUAAUGAACACACUGCUUUAACUUUAAUAAUACUGAAAACAUUGGAUUGGCCUAAAACUCAGAAUGUAUUAUGAAAUACCACCCAAUUCCCAAUGACCACAAAUAAGUUUUAACUCAUGACUUUAUAAUGCAUGCUGUAUGGAAUGCACAUUUUCAUUGUGGGAAUAAUUUUUCUUUAAAUAUCACAUCUUUUAAGUUGGAUGUCUUUCUGGUUAUUAUAAUGGCAGAGCUUUGCAGUUGCAACUGAUCCAUUCAAAAGCCGCCUGCAGCCAAGUGUCCCAGCAGCACAGCAUCAAAAUGUGGACAUAUUGAGGAACGAAUGAGCCAGCUGAACUUACAUUACCACCAAAUACUUGAUUUACUUGGCAAUACUCCCUCUGCAUUAUGAAAUAAGUUGUGAAAUACCAUAUUGCAUUAUAGUAUAGUCUGUACUCGGCAACUUCUAAAAUAUAGUCUGUAACUUGUAAAAGUAGUUAAUGCAAUUUUUUUUACAAUUUUCAGGUCACUAUUAGCCACUUCCACUGGUUUGCUUCAGCUUCACUCCUGUUUUAUACUAUCGUAAUGUUUCAGAUCCAGAGCCCUGUUGUUCAGAAAUCACUUGGGAGUGCUUUAAAGCUCGCUGCAAUGAAAAGGAUGCAGGAUGCUGGUUGGACAGCUGUCGCUGGUGCUGACAAGGAGAAGAAAAACAUCAAGUGCUUUUCAAAAUUGAUCGUUUUUUGUGUGUGUGACAAAUGUGGACAUUCAAUAUGCUCUUUUCAUUACACCACUGCUCUCAAGUUCAUCCAUGUCUAUAGUUGUCUGAUGCUGGGAAAUCUGUUGACCGAAAUAGACAUUUAAAAUGCAAGUCAAAACAAUUUGAAAUGACCCAGGUAUAUUAUCUUGUUUUGAUGUUACUGUUUAGCCACAUUACUCACUUUAUUAAUGGAAAAAAUGGAAAAUGCUUGUUUUGAACAGACUUGCCACCUUUGACUCCAUUCAACAUAAAUAAGUUCAAGUGUUUGUUCAUAACAUUGUUGUUUUUGCUUGUGCUGUUUUUAUGUUCCUACAUAUGACAUUUGUCAACAUUGUGUUAUUUACAGUGGUGUAAAGUACUUAAGUAAAAAUACGUUAAAGUACUACUAAAGUAGUUUUUUGGUAUCUGUACUUUACUUCACUAUUUAUAUUUUUGACAACUUUUACUCCACUACAUUCCUAAAGAAAACUAUGGACUUUUUACUGCAUACAUUUCGAAUGCUUAGCAGGACAUGAAAAUGGUGCAGUUCACGCACUUAUCAAGAGGUCAUCCCUACUG